AUACGGGAGGCAGCAGUGGGGAAUUUUGCGCAAUGGGGGAAACCCUGACGCAGCAACGCCGCGUGAGUGAUGAAGGCCUUCGGGUCGUAAAGCUCUGUCUAGAGGAAAGAAGUGUAUGGCAGUUAAUACCUGUUGUACUUGACGGUACCUCUGAAGGAAGCACCGGCUAACUCCGUGCCAGCAGCCGCGGUAAUACGGAGGGUGCGAGCGUUGUUCGGAUUUAUUGGGCGUAAAGCGCGUGUAGGCGGUUUCGUAAGUCUGAUGUGAAAGCCCCGGGCCUAACCUGGGAAGUGCAUUGGAAACUGCGAGACUUGAGUACGGGAGAGGGUAGUGGAAUUCCUAGUGUAGGAGUGAAAUCCGUAGAUAUUAGGAGGAACACCGGUGGCGAAGGCGGCUGCCUGGACCGAUACUGACGCUGAGACGCGAAAGCGUGGGGAGCAAACAGGAUUAGAUACCCCGGU
Molecule: ribosomal RNA, 461 nt
Filed under: uncultured bacterium
Lineage: Bacteria
Description: bacterial SSU rRNA
Rfam family: Bacterial small subunit ribosomal RNA
Source: RNAcentral